This 84-nucleotide transfer RNA is filed under the name candidate division Zixibacteria bacterium 4484_95. RNAcentral's name for it is "tRNA-Leu". It matches the Rfam family "tRNA". From Rfam's summary of the family: Transfer RNA (tRNA) molecules are approximately 80 nucleotides in length. Their secondary structure includes four short double-helical elements and three loops (D, anti-codon, and T loops). The record is from RNAcentral. Lineage: Bacteria; Pseudomonadati; Candidatus Zixiibacteriota. RNAcentral also lists the same sequence under 2 other names.
GCCGGAGUGGUGAAACUGGUAGACACGCUGUGUUCAGGGCGCAGUGCUCUUAUGGGUGUGGGGGUUCGAAUCCCCCCUCCGGCA